Molecule: ribosomal RNA, 468 nt
Filed under: uncultured bacterium
Lineage: Bacteria
Description: partial 16S ribosomal RNA
Rfam family: Bacterial small subunit ribosomal RNA
Source: RNAcentral
GACGAACGCUGGCGGCGUGCUUAACACAUGCAAGUCGAACGGAAAGGCCCUGCUUUUGUGGGGUGCUCGAGUGGCGAACGGGUGAGUAACACGUGAGUAACCUGCCCUUGACUUUGGGAUAACUUCAGGAAACUGGGGCUAAUACCGGAUAGGAGCUCCUGCUGCAUGGUGUGGGUUGGAAAGUUUCGGCGGUUGGGGAUGGACUCGCGGCUUAUCAGCUUGUUGGUGGGGUAGUGGCUUACCAAGGCUUUGACGGGUAGCCGGCCGGAGAGGGUGACCGGACACAUUGGGACUGAGAUACGGCCCAGACUCCAACGGGAGGCAGCAGUGGGGAAGAUUGCACAAUGGGCGGAAGCCUGACGCAGCAACGCCGCGUGCGGGAUGACGGCCUUCGGGUUGUAAACCGCUUUCGCCUGUGACGAAGCGUGAGUGACGGUAAUGGGUAAAGAAGCACCGGCUAACUACGUG